Molecule: long non-coding RNA, 544 nt
Filed under: Coturnix japonica (Japanese quail)
Lineage: Eukaryota; Metazoa; Chordata; Aves; Galliformes; Phasianidae
Description: lncRNA (ENSCJPG00005017639.1)
Source: RNAcentral
UACAUUUAUAAAUGCUUUUUGUAUCACCUUUGUCAUUGGUAAUUUCUUUUUUUUUUUUUUUCUUUCCCCCAGAACUACAACUAACUGGCUGAGGUAUGAAAAUUGCUGAAGGGCAUUUUCUAUCACACUUUGGGCAGCUGCACACGAAAUUGAUGGAAAAUUACCUUCCCAAGCUAACAGCUGAUUGUCUGCCUCAUCACCUGAACUUCAAAAUACUCAUCCUUUGGAUUUGAUGUCAAGCACAAGCCUUUCCUUCUGCAUGAAGAAUGGGAUGACAAAGCAAGCUGAAGUCCUCUUUUGCCAGACAGAGGUGGACUUUAUGUGCGCAGAGCAGCCUCUCCUGAGAGCAGCGCUUGCAUCUUGAUUGUCACUUUGUCCAUGACAAAUGUGAAUUGAACUAAGGGCAAGAGGAAGAGGAGCAGGAAAGAGGAGUAAAACAGUGCCUGGGUGAGAUCUUGUUGCCUUCUGUAAAUACACCCAGUAGUUAAGCACCAGGGAGACAGAUGAAGUGUGUAAGGGAAUGGAUAAACCUGGAAAAAUUAAG